CGUGUAGGCGGUUGGUCAAGUCGGGUGUGAAAGCCUGGGGCUCAGCCCCAGAAGUGCAUCCGAAACUAGCCAGCUAGAGCGCGAUAGAGGAGGGUGGAAUUCCUGGUGUAGCGGUGAAAUGCGUAGAUAUCAGGAGGAACACCGGCGGCGAAGGCAGCCCUCUGGAUCGUUGCUGACGCUGAGACGCGAAAGCGUGGGGAGCAAACAGGAUUAGAUACCCUGGUAGUCCACGCCUUAAACGAUGGGUACUAGGUGUUCGGGGUGUUGACCCCCUGAGUGCCGCAGUUAACGCAUUAAGUACCCCGCCUGGGGACUACGGCCGCAAGGUUAAA
Molecule: ribosomal RNA, 332 nt
Filed under: uncultured bacterium
Lineage: Bacteria
Description: bacterial SSU rRNA
Rfam family: Bacterial small subunit ribosomal RNA
Source: RNAcentral